AUUGUCAGUAGCCCUUUGCUUGAUUUCUUGUUUUACCUUAUGUUCGAGGUAUCCGGAGCCCCAACCAAGCUCUUCAAAAUCUUCGUCGCUGAACCUCGAGCCCAUAGAAGCUGUGCACUGCCUCCACCCUAGGGCCACUCCCGUUUUAGCAAACUUGGAGUCUAUCGCACCGACUCCACCUAUGGUCACCUCCAAGGCUAUGGGGGCACCACAAAAUCCUUACAAUCUCU
RNAcentral lists this long non-coding RNA (230 nucleotides) under Elaeis guineensis (African oil palm). Its description in RNAcentral is "long non-coding RNA (EGUI_LNC072784)". Lineage: Eukaryota; Viridiplantae; Streptophyta; Magnoliopsida; Arecales; Arecaceae. The record is from RNAcentral.